CAUCCCAAAAUAAGUGUAGUUUUGCACUGUUUAUGUCUCACGUUUGACCGUUCGUCUUAUUUGAAUUUUUUUUACAAUUAAUAUUUUUAUUGUUAUUAGAUGAUAAAAUAUAAAUAGUAUUUUAUGUGUGACUAACUUAUUUUAAUUUUCUCAUAAAUUUUUCAAAUAAGAUGGACGAUCAAACAUUGGAUACGGAUUCUCAUGGCUGCACUUAUUUUGGGACGGAUGUA
Molecule: microRNA precursor, 230 nt
Filed under: Oryza sativa (Asian cultivated rice)
Lineage: Eukaryota; Viridiplantae; Streptophyta; Magnoliopsida; Poales; Poaceae
Description: partial microRNA MIR433a-12 precursor
Rfam family: MIR812 microRNA precursor family
Source: RNAcentral